Molecule: ribosomal RNA, 271 nt
Filed under: Sarcocystis sp. ex Vulpes lagopus
Lineage: Eukaryota; Apicomplexa; Conoidasida; Eucoccidiorida; Sarcocystidae
Description: partial 18S ribosomal RNA
Rfam family: Eukaryotic small subunit ribosomal RNA
Source: RNAcentral
AAAUUCUUUUUUUAGUGAUUGGAAUGAUGGGAAUCCAAACCCCUUUCAGAGUAACAAUUGGAGGGCAAGUCUGGUGCCAGCAGCCGCGGUAAUUCCAGCUCCAAUAGCGUAUAUUAAAGUUGUUGCAGUUAAAAAGCUCGUAGUUGGAUAUCUGCUGGAAGCAGCCAGUCCGCCCUUUGUGGGUGUGCACUUGGUGAAUUCUGGCAUCCUCCUGAUUGGUGUCAUCAUCACUUCAUUGUGUUGGUGGCAGCUGUCAGGACCGUUACUUUGA